AAGAAAGACAAACCCAAGCCCAUCUCACAUUGAAGCCCAUCUCCUACCCCACGUUAGGACUUCCUGCAUCUUUGCCAUUACAGGUGGACGUGGAGGACCUUGCACCUAGAGAACAGGUCAAAUCCUGGAUCUGUUCUCAACUCCAUGAUUUCAUAGAUCAUACUCUGGGGGCCCCAAUUUUAAUGUCAAUCACGUGAGGUCAGCUGUUUAGCUCAAACCCAAGUGUCCCUUCUAUCAAGUGACUGAAGAACUUGUCCCCCCGUGUGGGAUGGACAGGUGGUUAAAGAAAGUCAGGCUAGGUUAGGGAGGUAUAGAUGAGGGAGACGCUCACCCAAGAAAGGGAAAGGCACAGGAGUCCUGCUUCCUGCCCUGGGGCUGUUAAAAAUGUUCUCAGCAUCACUAUCAGGAAAUCGGCGCUGAAGGGUACUUUCUCCUAAGGAGGUCAAGUAUGUGUGAGCCCACCUUCAUUUCCGGCUGGAAAUACGAUUCAUUCGUUUCACCACUUUGGAGUACUUGGGAAGACGUUUUGAUGAAAGAAACUUGCCCGGUGCACAGUAGUCCUCAUUCCUUUCCAGAUUUCUCCGCGAUCUGGAAGAAGAGGAAGAAAAUCUCCAUGUCCCGAGCACCUAUGAACCAAGCAAAACGCCACCUGGUGGCGCUCUACCAAUCUGCUGUGUGUAAGAACUUCGAAAUUCCCAGCCGACCGCCCUUACACCUUCAAAGGUCCUUCACAGAAACGGUCAGAGGAAGUGAGCGGCGAGAGGCACGGUGUCCACCGUAUCUGAUUCCUUUCCCUGCUGGCCGCCAGCGUGGACUAGGAGGUUGUCGCUGGCGGAGGAAGAACGCAGCUGGAGAAGCCGGUGGCGGCACAUCCUGGCAGGAGAGUGUGCUGGAGAGAAACCAUUCACCUCCUGCCCGGGGGGGGGGGGACAAAACAGGAGGAAGCGGAAGUAGACAGGGUACUGACCUGGAACUCACUGUGAAGCCCAGGUUGGUCUCGAACUCACAGCGAUCCUCCUGCCUCAGCCUCCCGAGUGCUGGGACUACAGGCGUGCACCACCACGCCCGGCAUUAGUGCCUCUCUGGGGCAACACUUGAGAUGCAAACUGUAGCGGAUCCCUCCCCUAAACGUUCCCUGGCUCGUGGAGUGUGGAAGCCAACGGAGUCCAUGGAGCCUUGCCCGGCAGCCAAGUCCCUCUUACCAUUACAGCUAGAGUAUGUAUGUGAAAGAUUCCCCAGAAAUCAAAAUCCUCUAAUCACAAAAUUAUACCUGUGCCCCACCAGAGCACUCUAUAUACCCUACCCAUAUACAGUCAGCUCACUAACCAUAAUGUCAUGUUGUUAUAGCUAGGGGGUUCUAAUAAGAAUCUCUUCAGCUUGCGGGAAAACUUGCUAGGAGCUCUCAUAGGUGCUGGAGAUCUGUCAACACAACCAUCAAAAGUGCCCGGGUGGAGCUAUGUUGGGAGCAAGUCACAGAGGAACAACAGAAGGAAUCAGAUGAAGACCCUGGCUGUGGUGCCUGGUGCCUGCUAGUCGAAGGCGGACCACCUCCUUUGGGCUUUAUAGGGAGAAUCUGCUUGCACAGCGCUUGUCCCUUUCAAUGCUUGGGCUCCUGAAGAUGCUGCUCACGGCUCACCUCAGCCCUCACCAGUACAGUGAGGUUUUGUUUGUCUGAUGCCUGUGAGCUCUGCAGUCAUUUGGCUGCAAUCAUUGGGCCGGAAUCUCAGCUGUGUCUCACAGCUUCAGCAUUUUCAUCAGUUUGUUGUGUUGUUUUGGGAGACAGUCUCAUUAUGCAGUUCAGGCUGGCCUGGAACUCACAGCAAUCCUCCUGCCUCAGCCUCCCUACUGCUGGAAUUACAGGCAUGUGCCAACCCCGCCCCCGGCCUGUACUACAUUGUUGAGGGGAUAAUGACAAGGAAAAGGCCUGAGCCAGGCAUGGUAGGGCACACCUAUUGCAAGAGGCUGAAGCAGGAGUAUCACAAGUUUGAGCCCAGCCUGGGCAACUUAGCAAUCUAUUGAGACCUUGUUUCAAAACAAAAAAUAAAAAAGGGCUGGGAUGUAGUUCAGGUCAAAGGCCCUUGGUUCGAUCCCCAGCACCAUCUCAACUCCCUGGAGUCAGUGUUCAUUGUUGACAUUGUGUGUGUGUGUGUGUGUGUGUGUGUCUCUGGGGACUGAACUCAGGGAGCACUGAGCUUCAUCUCCAGCCCUUUUUGAAAAUUUUAGAAGAUGUUGGGAUGUCGCAUCAAUUGCCUAGGGUGACCUAGAACUUGCAGUCCUCCUGCCUGCUUCCUGGGUAGCUGGGAUCACAGGGGUUUGCGCUACCAUGCGUGGCCCGGUGCAAAAUUGUAAAGGAUAUUUUCAAUAUGCAAUAGGUUGAAUUCACGGACAGGGAACCUGUAGAUGGCUGACUGUACCUACCUUGUGGGUUUGUUCCGAGAACCCAGGGAGCUAAUGGUCAACAACAAUCUGGCAUGAAAAUUGGCACCUGAUGUCAAGGGUGGGGAGGGGGCUAAGUUGGCGAAGUAACUGCUGUACAUGGAAGCGUCCUGGGGCUCGGGAGUGAGCCCCGGGAGAAGAAUAAAGAAAAAGAAAAGAAUAAAGAGAUAGAGGUUCAUCUUCUAUGACUCCUCAGUUUGCCCCAAGUCCCUGAGCAACUUCAACCCUCUGUCUGGGGCUGGACUGCUCUCUCUUCCCACGUACCCAACCCGCCCCUCGGAGAGAAUCACACAGAGGCAC
Fukomys damarensis (Damara mole-rat) is the source of this 2736-nucleotide long non-coding RNA. NCBI's taxonomy places the organism in Eukaryota, Metazoa, Chordata, Mammalia, Rodentia, Bathyergidae. The record is from Ensembl.